GGGAAUCUUCCACAAUGGGCGAAAGCCUGAUGGAGCAACGCCGCGUGAGCGAUGAAGGCCUUCGGGUUGUAAAAUUCUGUUAUAAGGGAAAAAAGGUGAUAGGAGGAAAUGACUAUCAAUUGACGGUACCUUAUGAGAAAGCAACGGCUAACUACGUGCCAGCAGCCGCGGUAAUACGUAGGUGGCAAGCGUUAUCCGGAAUUAUUGGGCGUAAAGAGCGCGCAGGCGGUUUCUUAAGUCUGAUGUGAAAGCCCCCGGCUCAACCGGGGAGGGUCAUUGGAAACUGGGAGACUUGAGUGCAGAAGAGGAGAGUGGAACUCCAUGUGUAGCGGUGAAAUGCGUAGAUAUAUGGAAGAACACCAGUGGCGAAAGCGGCUCUCUGGUCUGUAACUGACGCUGAGGUUCGAAAGCGUGGGUAGCA
Molecule: ribosomal RNA, 421 nt
Filed under: uncultured bacterium
Lineage: Bacteria
Description: bacterial SSU rRNA
Rfam family: Bacterial small subunit ribosomal RNA
Source: RNAcentral